GGCUCAGGAUGAACGCUGGCGGCGUGCCUAAUACAUGCAAGUCGAGCGAACGGACGAGAAGCUUGCUUCUCUGAUGUUAGCGGCGGACGGGUGAGUAACACGUGGAUAACCUACCUAUAAGACUGGGAUAACUUCGGGAAACCGGAGCUAAUACCGGAUAAUAUUUUGAACCGCAUGGUUCAAAAGUGAAAGACGGUCUUGCUGUCACUUAUAGAUGGAUCCGCGCUGCAUUAGCUAGUUGGUAAGGUAACGGCUUACCAAGGCAACGAUGCAUAGCCGACCUGAGAGGGUGAUCGGCCACACUGGAACUGAGACACGGUCCAGACUCCUACGGGAGGCAGCAGUAGGGAAUCUUCCGCAAUGGGCGAAAGCCUGACGGAGCAACGCCGCGUGAGUGAUGAAGGUCUUCGGAUCGUAAAACUCUGUUAUUAGGGAAGAACAUAUGUGUAAGUAACUGUGCACAUCUUGACGGUACCUAAUCAGAAAGCCACGGCUAACUACGUGCCAGCAGCCGCGGUAAUACGUAGGUGGCAAGCGUUAUCCGGAAUUAUUGGGCGUAAAGCGCGCGUAGGCGGUUUUUUAAGUCUGAUGUGAAAGCCCACGGCUCAACCGUGGAGGGUCAUUGGAAACUGGAAAACUUGAGUGCAGAAGAGGAAAGUGGAAUUCCAUGUGUAGCGGUGAAAUGCGCAGAGAUAUGGAGGAACACCAGUGGCGAAGGCGACUUUCUGGUCUGUAACUGACGCUGAUGUGCGAAAGCGUGGGGAUCAAACAGGAUUAGAUACCCUGGUAGUCCACGCCGUAAACGAUGAGUGCUAAGUGUUAGGGGGUUUCCGCCCCUUAGUGCUGCAGCUAACGCAUUAAGCACUCCGCCUGGGGAGUACGACCGCAAGGUUGAAACUCAAAGGAAUUGACGGGGACCCGCACAAGCGGUGGAGCAUGUGGUUUAAUUCGAAGCAACGCGAAGAACCUUACCAAAUCUUGACAUCCUUUGACAACUCUAGAGAUAGAGCCUUCCCCUUCGGGGGACAAAGUGACAGGUGGUGCAUGGUUGUCGUCAGCUCGUGUCGUGAGAUGUUGGGUUAAGU
RNAcentral lists this ribosomal RNA (1085 nucleotides) under Staphylococcus aureus. RNAcentral describes it as "bacterial SSU rRNA". It matches the Rfam family "Bacterial small subunit ribosomal RNA", at positions 21 to 1085 of the family's 1533-position model. The record is from RNAcentral. Lineage: Bacteria; Bacillati; Bacillota; Bacilli; Caryophanales; Staphylococcaceae.